AUGUACCUCAUGACAGAUACAAUAUAUCAUCCAGUGCUCGACUAUGACAAAAAUUAAACAAUUACACCUCACAAAGGCAAAGCAAAGAAUCAUGGAGCGAGUAGGAGGGGUAGAAGGGGACCUAAGGAGCUCAUCGGAAGUGGUUGUACCCUAGGCUGAACUUCACCAUCACAGCGACAGCCAAGGGAGGCAGCCGAGCCUACCAAUGCGUAGCCAUCAUAGGAGCAAUAGGAGUGCAGCAGCACCACUGCCAGAACUGGAAUUGCUGGAGCGAAUCACCAUCACAUGGGUCACCUCCACCGAAGGAUCUAGCAAGGGGUAAAGUCUGCACAUUUCAGUACAAGCUAGUGACGUCAAAAACCAAACAGUAGCAAGAAGAUAAACUCUAGUACAUGAUGAUUAGUUGAAGAAAUAGGAACUACAUUCAGUAGUGAUGUUUCCUUCAUCCUACUAUCACCAGUAGAGCAAACUACGGGUUACCCUAGUUCUGGAACCAUGUACUUCACAACAGAUGUAUGUAGUAACACAAGACGCAUGACACCUAAAGAAAAAUUAUUCAUUCAAGAGACUAGAAAUUAUACAUACAAGUACUGAUGGCCUAAAAAUCAAUCUACAAAUGAUAGAUAAUAAUAAACAAAUGACAGCAGCAUAUUUUCUUCAUUAUAUAAAGAGAAACUAACAAACUGUUAUGUGCACGCAGAUGCACCAAAAGAAACUAAAGACCAUUUAUCUUAAGGAUUCCACAUAGCUGCCGAACAUGCUUAUCAUCCAAGGAAAGAAGCAUAGCUUUUUCAGGGGAAAUCAAUCUACAACCCUACAGAUAUUAGGACUAUCUCGGUACACAAUAUGAGCACGAGCGAUACAUCAGGCAGUAUACGCAUCUAGAGAGAAAGAAUUACGACCCACAAGGCAGCAGCGAUAGCUUCUACCUUCGCAUAUAUUUCAAUACCUACUGCUAUUGUCAUGUAUGUUAAAUAUGCAAGAGGUAAAAAUGACAGUUUUGUACAUCCAUUUCAAACAGACUUGUGAAGAAGAAGAUAAACUGCUAAUGCACUUCAACCAUUAAUCCAACAUUGCACACAAACCUAGAAAGAAAGUAACAAACCAACCGCCCUAAUACAGAACAUCAUUAGGCCCAAACAUUUGGCAUAUUCAAACAUGAUGCUGUUCUACGGCUACAUCAAGUAGUUAAUACCUCCAUGAUGCUACAUGUAGAAAAUAUCUACUCUAUCAUAUGAGUUUGACUGCGGGGUAUACAGGGGAAGAUGGUAGCUCAGUGUAUCCAAUUAUCCAUACAACGUAAAAGGUCGUGAACAUACUAGACGCAAUAUUAUCACCAUUUAUAGUACAAUAAACUCAGAUCUUACAGAACAAAUUGACAUUAUCAGACAACACAGGAAACUGUGUGUUUUCUCCCAGCCGUAUCAUACACCAAAAGCACAGUGCCCAGCAAAUGUGAAACCAGACUUGUUACUGGUGAGUAUGAGGUCAUCGGUACCUAUCACAACUGCGCGAGUAGGUCAUCAUUUGGUACCUGGCACAACUCUACAAGGAGGUCGGCAUCAUUGAUUCCU
RNAcentral lists this long non-coding RNA (1574 nucleotides) under Triticum aestivum (bread wheat). RNAcentral describes it as "long non-coding RNA (TAES_LNC017956)". Lineage: Eukaryota; Viridiplantae; Streptophyta; Magnoliopsida; Poales; Poaceae. The record is from RNAcentral.